UGGGGAAUAUUGCACAAUGGGCGCAAGCCUGAUGCAGCCAUGCCGCGUGUAUGAAGAAGGCCUUCGGGUUGUAAAGUACUUUCAGCGGGGAGGAAGGGAGUAAAGUUAAUACCUUUGCUCAUUGACGUUACCCGCAGAAGAAGCACCGGCUAACUCCGUGCCAGCAGCCGCGGUAAUACGGAGGGUGCAAGCGUUAAUCGGAAUUACUGGGCGUAAAGCGCACGCAGGCGGUUGAUUGAGUCAGAUGUGAAAUCCCCGGGCUUAACCCGGGAAUUGCAUCUGAUACUGGUCAGCUAGAGUCUUGUAGAGGGGGGUAGAAUUCCAUGUGUAGCGAUGAAAUGCGUAGAGAUGUGGAGGAAUACCGGUGGCGGAGGCGGCCCCCUGGACGAAGACUGACGCUCAGGUGCGAAAGCGUGGGGAGCAAACAGG
This 429-nucleotide ribosomal RNA is filed under the name Chloroflexota bacterium. Its description in RNAcentral is "Chloroflexi bacterium partial 16S ribosomal RNA". It matches the Rfam family "Bacterial small subunit ribosomal RNA", at positions 355 to 776 of the family's 1533-position model. The record is from RNAcentral. Lineage: Bacteria; Bacillati; Chloroflexota.